Molecule: ribosomal RNA, 245 nt
Filed under: uncultured prokaryote
Description: partial 16S ribosomal RNA
Rfam family: Bacterial small subunit ribosomal RNA
Source: RNAcentral
UACGGAGGAUGCGAGCGUUAUCCGGAUUUAUUGGGUUUAAAGGGUGCGCAGGCGGCCGAGUAAGUCAGCGGUGAAAUUUUGCAGCUUAACUGUAACAGUGCCGUUGAUACUGCAUGGCUAGGAUUUGGUUGCUGUGGGUGGAAUGUGUGGUGUAGCGGUGAAAUGCUUAGAUAUCACACAGAAUAUCAAUUGCGAAGGCAGCUCACAAAGCCAAGAUUGACGCUGAGGCACGAAAGUGUGGGGAU